Molecule: small nucleolar RNA, 215 nt
Organism: Drosophila hydei
Lineage: Eukaryota; Metazoa; Arthropoda; Insecta; Diptera; Drosophilidae
Product: small nucleolar RNA U3
Exons: 1
Source: RefSeq, a predicted model, not a curated record
AAGACUAUACUUCACAGGAUCAUUUCUGUAGUCAGUCUUCGCUUACUUUCACACAAACUGAAAGCAUACCAUACCCACGUUGAUGAGAAGAAUCGUUUUAUUCGGCAGCGUGAGGAUUUGUGUAAUGGCCUUUGCGUUGCGACUUGUUGCACGUAUGGUGGACAUUGCGCUUCGAUGAUCGCUCGGUAACACGAAUAGAACGAAUUCUGAGUGGU